GGGAGAUAGCUCAGUGGUAGAGCACAUGCUUAGCAUGCAUGAGGUCCUGAGUUCAAUCCCCAGUACUUCCA
RNAcentral lists this transfer RNA (71 nucleotides) under Camelus bactrianus (Bactrian camel). It matches the Rfam family "tRNA". From Rfam's summary of the family: Transfer RNA (tRNA) molecules are approximately 80 nucleotides in length. RNAcentral also lists the same sequence under 2 other names. Lineage: Eukaryota; Metazoa; Chordata; Mammalia; Artiodactyla; Camelidae. The record is from Rfam by way of RNAcentral.